Molecule: long non-coding RNA, 4021 nt
Organism: Cuculus canorus (common cuckoo)
Lineage: Eukaryota; Metazoa; Chordata; Aves; Cuculiformes; Cuculidae
Exons: 5
Source: RefSeq, a predicted model, not a curated record
CCCAGGGCGGCCGCGGAGUUGAGUUCGUGCCGGGCGGUGGCGAGGAGGCGGCUCUCGUACACCGGGCAGUACACGGGGGUCUGGGCGGACGCGGCAGCCCCCGAAUCGGCCAGAGUCCGGCCGCUGGACUCGCAGCAGGUCUCGGGUUUGGGGUGUCAUCCUCCUCCCUCCCCUCCCGCAUUCUACAAUCGAGGUGGAAAGGCUAUGGAGGAAAGCGGAGAAGGGAGGGAGGAGGGUGUAUAGUGAUUUUAGCACCUUCCCCUCUAUAUCUACUAAACAGAAAUAUUUGAGACGUGUGGGCUCCGAGGCUGAAAAACGUGACGGCAUACUUUGCACCCACAGAAAAAUGAAAGGGGGAGGGAGAAGAAAAGUGAUAGAAAUACAUCACUUCAGAAGCACGUUGUUCUAAAAGAGAAGAGUCUCUGACGUCACGCAAAACCUAUUCAAAUUAACCUGCCCCUAAGUUUAACAUCAAUUUUCGGGAACCUUUCCCCUGGCUUGGAAAACAGACUCUCCAGCAUCCCUCUCAGUCUUGCUUAACAGAAGCAAAACUUUGGAAGGCUUUCCAGCAGCGGUUACGCCUGCUUGCAACAUUUCUGUAUAUUUCUGCGGGGAAGGGAAGGAAAUGAAUGGUUUUAAUCUGAAGGAUCAAUGUUGUAUCAGCUAAGAUUUCCCCCCACCCUCCUUCGUCACUGAAGGGCUGACAUGUGAUUACAGGUAGAAAACCCCACAAGCGUAUUCCGGGGAAAGAUUGAAAGGACGUGACUUUUAACGUUAAACCGACUUCGAUCCCACGGCAAACCUCUUCUGGAAAAGUCAGCCUUUCGAGGCCGUAUCCAGCCUGUCUGUGCUCCGAGGUGCACACAGCUUGGAAGGGGAAUGGGGGUAGAGGGGUAUAACUUCAACGUGCCAAGUACUAUUUCGCACCCAAGAACAAACACGUUUUUCUCGGCGUUUAGUUGUUUCCCCCGGUCUACGGCGGGACCACGGACUGAAGGGGGGCCUGGGAAGGAGUCUCAUCUCCAUUAUCUCAUCUCCAUCACUCCCUUCUCUCCAACCCACGGCUGCCACUAGAACCCCUACCCUCUGGGAGGCUGGAUGUGGCCCUCGGAGCUGGAAGACUGCCUCCCAGAAACGAAUCUGCCCACACUGACAGCUCGAUUGAGGGUGAUUGAUGACUAUCUGGAGACCACAGUACACAUAAUAUAAUAUCUGCUGCGUAAUUGCUUUAAUUUACAGAUGAAAAUACUAGUUCCUGGAUUGAGUUAGACUACAACGAGUGGCAUUUUAUGGCGCUUUAGAAUGUUUGCAAAUAAAAGAUAUCGGAUACAGUACUUGCAAAUUACCCCUACAGCUCAGGAUCUGUAAGCCAGGAGAGAGUUAUAAAGAAGGGGAAUCAAAUGACGUUAAUAAUCGGGUUUGAAUUCUGUAUUGAUUUUUCGGGUGUGUGUGUGUAAGAAAGUGCCUAUUCUUUCCUCACCUGAAAUGCUAAUACCGUCACCCUUCUUGGAAUAUUAAUAACUUAGCCACUGGGUUUCUGUUAUAGAAACACUCCCUUAUUCCUUCUGCGACCCUCAUGCUGCAAGGGUAUGACACUUUUAGCUACUAUUUACAAGCAGCUUCCUCCUCUGCGACGCGCUGACGGGCUCCUGCAUUGUUUGGGAAGACACACGGUGUUUACACAAUGGUCUGCACGCAGCGUUUCGUGCUGCUCUCUCUGCCUCCUGAGCCGAUUAUUGCGCUGGGGGAUGUUUAUUUAAGCCCUGGAGUAUCACUCACCGGUGCUAGGGAAGAAAACAGUUGCACUUAUCUCAAGAGCGGCUCGGUGUAAAGCACUAUAAUUAGCUGGGAGAGCUAAAGAACUGCCUAGAGAAGUCCUCCCAGUUUUCCAGGCUACGGUUUGGGAGAUGUCCUGGUGUGUGUGGUUUUUUUCCUUCUCUCUUUUGAUAUUACUGCAGAUGUCAAAUCUGCAGUGGCCCACAGAACACUACAGGUUUUGAUAUUUAGAUGAGUCUAUUAAACUUUAAAAUACAAGGUGAAAUUCAAUAUUUAUAGUCCUUGUCUAUUUAUAUAUCACAGUUGUCUUUCACUGCACCAUAGAAAUACUCUGGUGCCCAUUUUUGCACUGAACUUUCCUGUAUUAAUCAUGAUAAUUAUUUGUCAUUUUUCUUUUCAGCCUGCCUGCUCUAUUACUUUACCCCUGGUCAGCUUUGUGUCAGUUCCAAUCUGUAUUCCCUAGAAAGCAGUCAUUAAAAAAACCAAACAAACAUCAAAACAAAUAACAACAACAAAACUUUAUAACCUUAAACACUUAAUAACCUUAUGCACUAAAAGCUGACAUUACGUCUUCCUCCGGCGUUUAUGCCUUGUCUCACUUACCAUUACAAAUAAUGGCCCUUUGUUGAUAAGAAACUUGAUACAAUUAUAUUUCAUCUUGAAUUUUUGGUGCCAGAGCACAAACAUGCAAUAAGCCCCACAAUGAUUUAAAAUAACCUUUGUGGUUCUUGCAUAUAAACAACGUAACACUGUUCAAAUCCAAGCAAAGACGCUUAAUGCUGUGGGCUAUAUCCUUAAGCAUUUGGAAAAUGCAAGUCUUUGCUGUGCAAUAAAAAUUGAUCCUUGUCAAAGCCCCUUUCCUGUACAAAGCGGUUAACAGCUUUCAAGAAGGAGAAACACACACUGCUUUCUCCAAAGUUUGAGCAAGUAAACCCACUGCGAUCAAUAGGAAAUGCUGGAGAGUUCCCCUGUCAUAAAAGCCAGCCUGCACACCCAAGCGAGCAGGUAUUUUACAGCCAAAGCCCAACCACCUCUGUCUCUGAGGGUUAUGUGUUUCUUCUCCGAGAACCUGGAGCCAACGUUCAUACAAGUUUUGUCAUAAAAGUAUGAAAUGAGAAAGAAACGCUGUGAUGCUGGAACAGGCCACAGCAGGUAAAACAGAGAACCUCUUCGGGACUAAUGCUUUGAUGGACGUCUUCAGGGACAUGAUCUAGAGGCGGUUAAUGCAGCUACACUUUUACUAUCUGCAUUUUCAUCACCUCCUCUUUUGGAGGGUUUAUUGCCGCUCCUGGAAAUAUUUCAGCGACGGAAUUUGCUUAUGGGCUAAACAGACUUUAGCGAGCUCUUUCAGUCGACUUGCUUUGUUUUCAUGUUACAGAUUUAAAGCAACCUUGACACCGCCUGACAAACGCUGUGAAGCUCUACAUGUUGCCCAUUUGGGAUCUGACAUGGAACCGAGGGCAGCCUACAACAUUUUCAAGUAGAUUAGCUCACAUAAAGUCGCUAUCGACAGUAAAUACGAUUGGGUUUGGUUUUUUUUUUUUUUUUUUCCCUGAGCCCACCUGAGGUGUAAUUGCAUCUCCUGCACUCUGAAUGGAAGGACAGCGAGCUGGUCCUGCCGACCUGCACAAACCUAGGCAAUAGCUUGUGAUCGGCAGAGCUAUGAUGACAAGCAUAACAGUUGCAUAAGAAGGCACCGCUAAUUAAUUUACUCAGAUUACAACUACACAUAAAAUCAGCUGUUCAAAGAUAUCCGUUUGAAUGCUUUCCCUUCGUAAGUCUUCAAUCCUCUUGGCAAACAGUUUAGAUUAAAGCAGAAAGGCCUCACAUGCUCGUUCUGUUCUUUGUGUUUAUUAACUUUUCACACUUAAGGACCAGAGCCAACACACGCGCUCUCUCACACCCACCCAGCCCAAACUUUUCAGCAAGAGAACCAAACGCUGCGAAAGGAGCAGCUGCUGUCCGGCUAGACAGACCCUACAACAAAUCCACAUCGCACCCGCCCGGUGCAGAGCAUCGCAACUACGCCUUCACCAGCUAAGCAAAGAUUGUGUAAGGUUUUCUCUUUCCAGCCUCUGAAUCCCCCGGUGCCGCAGGCUCCCAGGCGUUCAAACACCACCGCCUUCGAGCUCUCUGGCAGCGGACAGCUUUAACAUACUUCCCUGCGACGAUAAAACUUUCCUCACUUGCAAGGUCAAAUUCUACUCCUUUUAAAGUUUUCCCUUAAAAUCCAGAAAGUUUGACU